RNAcentral lists this ribosomal RNA (492 nucleotides) under uncultured bacterium. Its description in RNAcentral is "partial 16S ribosomal RNA". It matches the Rfam family "Bacterial small subunit ribosomal RNA", at positions 29 to 507 of the family's 1533-position model. The record is from RNAcentral.
AGUGAACGCUGGCGGUAUGCCUAACACAUGCAAGUCGAACGGCAGCACAGUAAGAGCUUGCUCUUACGGGUGGCGAGUGGCGGACGGGUGAGGAAUACAUCGGAAUCUACUUUUUCGUGGGGGAUAACGUAGGGAAACUUACGCUAAUACCGCAUACGACCUACGGGUGAAAGCAGGGGAUCUUCGGACCUUUCGCGAUUGAAUGAGCCGAUGUCGGAUUAGCUAGUUGGCGGGGUAAAGGCCCACCAAGGCGACGAUCCGUAGCUGGUCUGAGAGGAUGAUCAGCCACACUGGAACUGAGACACGGUCCAGACUCCUACGGGAGGCAGCAGUGGGGAAUAUUGGACAAUGGGCGCAAGCCUGAUCCAGCCAUGCCGCGUGGGUGAAGAAGGCCUUCGGGUUGUAAAGCCCUUUUGUUGGGGAAGAAAAGCAGCGGGUUAAUACCCCGCUGUUCUGACGGUACCCAAAGAAUAAGCACCGGCUAACUUCGUG